UCACGAGUCAUUUCCUUUUUCUUUUUGCAUGAUUAUUUAAUAGAAUUGAGUUUAUAAAAUUAUUUUUUAUUUUACAAUUAAGUAAUCCAUUCCAAAUUUACAUAUGUAAAUAAAUAGAUUUUAUAUUGUAUCAAAUAAACUUUAUAUUUCACGGGUCACUAUCAGUACAAUAUAUAUUUUAUUUUGAUAAAUAAUCAUCUUAAUUUAAAAAAUAAAUUUUUUUUUGAAUAUUAAAUAUUC
RNAcentral lists this long non-coding RNA (240 nucleotides) under Lathyrus oleraceus (garden pea). RNAcentral describes it as "Pisum sativum (pea) long non-coding RNA (PSAT_LNC021279)". Lineage: Eukaryota; Viridiplantae; Streptophyta; Magnoliopsida; Fabales; Fabaceae. The record is from RNAcentral.